RNAcentral lists this ribosomal RNA (497 nucleotides) under uncultured bacterium. RNAcentral describes it as "partial 16S ribosomal RNA". It matches the Rfam family "Bacterial small subunit ribosomal RNA", at positions 28 to 507 of the family's 1533-position model. The record is from RNAcentral.
GAUGAACGCUGGCGGCGUGCCUAAUACAUGCAAGUCGAGCGAACAGACGAGGAGCUUGCUCCUCUGACGUUAGCGGCGGACGGGUGAGUAACACGUGGAUAACCUACCUAUAAGACUGGGAUAACUUCGGGAAACCGGAGCUAAUACCGGAUAAUAUAUUGAACCGCAUGGUUCAAUAGUGAAAGACGGUUUUGCUGUCACUUAUAGAUGGAUCCGCGCCGCAUUAGCUAGUUGGUAAGGUAACAGCUUACCAAGGCAACGAUGCGUAGCCGACCUGAGAGGGUGAUCGGCCACACUGGAACUGAGACACGGUCCAGACUCCUACGGGAGGCAGCAGUAGGGAAUCUUCCGCAAUGGGCGAAAGCCUGACGGAGCAACGCCGCGUGAGUGAUGGAGGUCUUCGGAUCGUAAAACUCUGUUAUUAGGGAAGAACAAAUGUGUAAGUAACUAUGCACGUCUUGACGGUACCUAAUCAGAAAGCCACGGCUAACUACGUG